UACGUAGGGUGCAAGCGUUGUCCGGAAUCAUUGGGCGUAAAGCGCGCGUAGGCGGCCUUGUAAGUCCGUUGUGAAAGUCAAAGGCUCAACCUUUGAAAGCCGAUGGAUACUGCGAGGCUAGAGUUCGGAAGAGGCGAGUGGAAUUCCUGGUGUAGCGGUGGAAUGCGCAGAUAUCAGGAGGAACACCGGUGGCGAAGGCGGGUCUCUGGGCCGUAACUGACGCUGAGGAGCGAAAGCAUGGGGAGCGAACAGG
RNAcentral lists this ribosomal RNA (253 nucleotides) under uncultured bacterium. RNAcentral's name for it is "partial 16S ribosomal RNA". It matches the Rfam family "Bacterial small subunit ribosomal RNA", at positions 524 to 776 of the family's 1533-position model. The record is from RNAcentral.